RNAcentral lists this transfer RNA (63 nucleotides) under Micromorphus albipes. Its description in RNAcentral is "tRNA-Cys". Lineage: Eukaryota; Metazoa; Arthropoda; Insecta; Diptera; Dolichopodidae. The record is from RNAcentral.
AGCUUUAUAGUCAAAAAUGAUAUUAGACUGCAAUUCUAAAGGAGUGAUAAAUCACUAAGGCUU